GAUGAACGCUGGCGGCGUGCUUAACACAUGCAAGUCGAACGAAGCACUUUAUUUGAUUUCCUUCGGGACUGAUUAUUUUGUGACUGAGUGGCGGACGGGUGAGUAACGCGUGGGUAACCUGCCUCAUACAGGGGGAUAACGGUUAGAAAUGACUGCUAAUACCGCAUAAGCGCACAGUACCGCAUGGUACAGUGUGAAAAACUCCGGUGGUAUGAGAUGGACCCGCGUCUGAUUAGCUAGUUGGUGGGGUAACGGCCCACCAAGGCGACGAUCAGUAGCCGACCUGAGAGGGUGACCGGCCACAUUGGGACUGAGACACGGCCCAGACUCCUACGGGAGGCAGCAGUGGGGGAUAUUGCACAAUGGAGGAAACUCUGAUGCAGCGACGCCGCGUGAGUGAAGAAGUAUUUCGGUAUGUAAAGCUCGUAUCGGCAGGGAAGAAAAUGACGGUACUGACUAAGAAGCCCCGGNUAACUACGUG
Molecule: ribosomal RNA, 481 nt
Filed under: uncultured bacterium
Lineage: Bacteria
Description: bacterial SSU rRNA
Rfam family: Bacterial small subunit ribosomal RNA
Source: RNAcentral